This 684-nucleotide ribosomal RNA is filed under the name uncultured bacterium. RNAcentral's name for it is "bacterial SSU rRNA". It matches the Rfam family "Bacterial small subunit ribosomal RNA", at positions 32 to 715 of the family's 1533-position model. The record is from RNAcentral.
AACGCUAGCUACAGGCUUAACACAUGCAAGUCGAACGGAUUCUGGAUUCGUCUGGAAUUAGUGGCAAACGGGUGAGUAACACGUAUCCAACCACCCUGCGACUCGGGGACAGCCUCUUGAAAGGGAGAUUAAUAUCCGAUGUACUGUUUUUGGUGCAUGCCAUUUUCAGUAAAGUUUUUUACGGUCGCUGACGGGGAUGCGUUCCAUUAGAUCGUCGGUGUGGUAACGGCUCACCGAGUCUAUGAUGGAUAGGGGUUCUGAGAGGAAGGUCCCCCACAUUGGAACUGCGACACGGUCCAAACUCCUACGGGAGGCAGCAGUGAGGAAUCUUGGUCAAUGGGCGCAAGGCCUGAACCAGCCACGUAGCGUGAAGGAAGACUGCCCUUAGGGUUGUAAACUUCUUUUAUAAGGGAAUAACGUCAGUAACGAGUUACUGAUUGCAUGUACCUUAUGAAUAAGGAUCGGCUAACUCCGUGCCAGCAGCCGCGGUAAUACGGAGGAUCCGAGCGUUAUCCGGAUUUAUUGGGUUUAAAGGGUGCGUAGGCGGGAGCGGAAGUCAGCUGUGAAAUUUUAUGGCUCAACCAUAAACUUGCAGUUGAAACUCCGUUUCUUGAGUACACAUGAGGUGGGCGGAAUUUGUGGUGUAGCGGUGAAAUGCUUAGAUAUCACGAAGAACUCCGAUUG